RNAcentral lists this transfer RNA (76 nucleotides) under Phocaeicola vulgatus. RNAcentral's name for it is "tRNA-Ala". It matches the Rfam family "tRNA". Rfam says of the family: Transfer RNA (tRNA) molecules are approximately 80 nucleotides in length. Their secondary structure includes four short double-helical elements and three loops (D, anti-codon, and T loops). Further hydrogen bonds mediate the characteristic L-shaped molecular structure. tRNAs have two regions of fundamental functional importance: the anti-codon, which is responsible for specific mRNA codon recognition, and the 3' end, to which the tRNAs corresponding amino acid is attached (by aminoacyl-tRNA synthetases). tRNAs cope with the degeneracy of the genetic code in two manners: having more than one tRNA (with a specific anti-codon) for a particular amino acid; and 'wobble' base-pairing, i.e. permitting non-standard base-pairing at the 3rd anti-codon position. The record is from RNAcentral. Lineage: Bacteria; Pseudomonadati; Bacteroidota; Bacteroidia; Bacteroidales; Bacteroidaceae. RNAcentral also lists the same sequence under 60 other names.
GGGCCUAUAGCUCAGCUGGGAGAGCGUACGGUUCGCAUCCGUAAGGUCGUCGGUUCGAUCCCGAUUAGGUCCACCA